GAAAAUAAUAAAGGGAGAGGAAAAGGUCACAUGCUAAAAAUUUAUUAUUAGUUUUUUUUUUCCACGACUCAUCAUUGCAUAUAAAAAAACUAUGUGCAAAUAGAAUGCCAUUGAAAUUGAAUUCAUGGGAAGGUGAAGGAAGGAAGGAGAGAAUGCAUGCAUCUUGCAAUGUCCUAUCUUAAAGUGAUUGUGAAUGCGGAAAGCAAAGGCUGCAAACCAGAGAGGAGGAUCCAAAAG
Molecule: long non-coding RNA, 237 nt
Filed under: Eucalyptus grandis
Lineage: Eukaryota; Viridiplantae; Streptophyta; Magnoliopsida; Myrtales; Myrtaceae
Description: long non-coding RNA (EGRA_LNC002455)
Source: RNAcentral